Molecule: small nuclear RNA, 165 nt
Organism: Carcharodon carcharias (great white shark)
Lineage: Eukaryota; Metazoa; Chordata; Chondrichthyes; Lamniformes; Lamnidae
Product: U1 spliceosomal RNA
Exons: 1
Source: RefSeq, a predicted model, not a curated record
AUAUUUUACAAAUAAAGUAUAUUUGUCCAAAAAAGAGAUGGUUCUCCCAGGACGAGUCCAGCUCAUUGCAUUUCGGGUGUGCUGACACCUUCGAUGUCCCCAAAUGCGGGAUUCUCCACUGUAAAAUUUAUGGUAGCGGGUGGACUGCGUUCGCGCUCUCCCCUG